RNAcentral lists this ribosomal RNA (506 nucleotides) under bacterium enrichment culture clone ALO1_GLFRUDD03FN2PT. Its description in RNAcentral is "bacterial SSU rRNA". It matches the Rfam family "Bacterial small subunit ribosomal RNA", at positions 9 to 524 of the family's 1533-position model. The record is from RNAcentral.
GAGUUUGAUCGUGGCUCAGGACGAACGCUGGCGGCGUGCCUAACACAUGCAAGUCGAACGGAACCAUUGAUAAGCUUGCUUAGAGGUGGUUUAGUGGCGGACGGGUGAGUAACGCGUGAGGAACCUGCCUUUCAGAGGGGGAUAACGUCUGGAAACGGACGCUAAUACCGCAUGACAUAUCGAGAUCACAUGGUUUUGAUAUCAAAGGAGCAAUCCGCUGAAAGAUGGACUCGCGUCCGAUUAGCCAGUUGCGGGUAACGGCCACCAAAGCGACGAUCGGUAGCCGGACUGAGAGGUUGAACGGCCACAUUGGGACUGAGACACGGCCCAGACUCCUACGGGAGGCAGCAGUGGGGGAUACUGCACAAUGGAGGAAACUCUGAUGCAGCAACGCCGCGUGAGGGAAGAAGGUUUUCGGAUUGUAAACCUCUGUCCUCGGUGACGAAACAAAUGACGGUAGCCGAGGAGGAAGCUCCGGCUAACUACGUGCCAGCAGCCGCAGUAAU